Long non-coding RNA from Spinacia oleracea (spinach), 2551 nucleotides. RefSeq lists it as uncharacterized. The record is from RefSeq and is a predicted model, not a curated record. NCBI's taxonomy places the organism in Eukaryota, Viridiplantae, Streptophyta, Magnoliopsida, Caryophyllales, Amaranthaceae. The transcript has 3 exons.
CAAGAAAUAACAAGUUCAUCGUUAAUGUUCACGAAAAGAUAAAGAGAAAUUAGAAAAAGAAAAAUUGUGUUCGUCGUUAUUCUCAAUUCCCAGUAGCGCCAUGUUUUUAUUUUCGUUGGCCGACGCCGCCGACCUCAAAAUUCACUCAUCUCCAUCUCUCGGACCUAAAACCUUCAAUUGAAUUCGCAGUUUUGCGAUUCAUGUUAUUCUAAAUGAAAAUAAUGGCUUUUCUAUCUUCCCCCUCUCUAUAUCCUUGACCAAAGAUGCAAUGGAAUUAGUCCAUGUACGGCGGGCGCCAUUAACCUUGAAUUCGAUCGCCCUAUGCGCAACAACAUUUGCUUAUUUGGACAUGUUUUGAAGAGAGUAGUGGCACACAGUCGUUGCGGGGUGAUACUGCAUUACUGAGUACCUGGAAUCUGCGGCUUUCAGCAAAGUUGUUCAGGCUCAUGAUAUCCAGACUGGAGUUUAUGUUUGCCUGAAAGUCAUUAGAAAUGACAGAUUUUGUUUGUAAAAGUUUGGACGAAAUCGAACUUCUCAAGUAUGUCAACAAGAAUGAUCCUGCAGAUAAGCACCUUUUACAUCUCUAUGACUACUUUUACCAUCUCUUCCCCCCCCCCCCAUGGGUCCGUGACAUGCAGGCUUAGAUUUUUAUUGUCCUAUACGAAGUGAUUAAUUCCAGAUUCUUGUUUACGUAUACAGAAGCACCUUUUCAUUGUAUGUGAACUUCUUCGAGCUAAUAUAUAUGACUUUCAGAAAUAUAAUAUAGAAUCUGGUGGAGAACCCUACUUUACAAUGAGUAGAUUGCAGGUACUUGUUCUACUAAGUUGCAUUUAUCUGUUAAUGGAACCCAUGAAACUGGUUUUUAACGAUGUUUUUUAGCAUUUAAAUGUAAGGAGCUCCUAUAAAUCCUGUUUUUGUAAAUCAUAGCACGGGUCCUAAUUGUCGUUGGCGCUUUUCACCCUAAUAUCACUUCAAGUUGUUUUCUAUUUCCUGCCUGGUUUUAAGUAUGGCAUCACGACCCUAAUAUUUUUUCUUUGAUAUAUGAAGAUUUGUUUUAAUUUUAUAAGAACCAAUUAGUCUAUGGUUAGGUGGGAUUCAAUUUGCCUCAGCGCAAUUGCCUCAUCUGGAGCACUUAUAGGCUUUUUGGACUUUUCAUAUGUGACUUUGUUUCUGAGUUAGGUAGUUAAACAAAAUGCAGGCUCUAAAUUUAAACGAUCCAGAGCUCAAAGACCUGAACCUUACUUCAUGUAGAAACUUGCAGGUUUGUAUUUUAGAUGGUCUAAUUUACAAUGGAUGAUUUUAGCAAAUACUGCUAGUUGUUAAGGUUUCUAAUGAGGUUUCUUGCUUUAUUUAGAGAGGUUACUACUCUAGUUUCCCAAUUUGGAAUGCGUCAAAUUUCCUUGCGUUAGAUUAUUGAAACUGAGGUUAUAUCAAUUCCCUUGUACAAGUUCAAUGAUAAACCUUCCCCUGACUAUGUUGGUCUUAAUUACUGUUGUUUCAUAUGUUGAUUAUGAAGUAUAACAUGAAAAGGGUUCCAUUGAAAUUUUAUGCAAUAAAAAAAUCUUCUUGUAAAGAAGCUGGCCAAUGCCUAGUAAGUUAGUAGCCUUAGUAAAGAAAUCUAGUGGAUAAUUUGGUCAGAAGCUUUUGUUUGUUAGUGUUAUGUUCAAAAUGAAAGCAACCUUGUUUAUAUUAACUGAAAAGAUCAAUCAGUUUUGACAUUCAUUGUGAAAUUCUUGCAGAUAAGAAAGUUCCACUAGAAAGCCAAUUUCUAAGCAAGCGCAUGGCUGGUGGAGAUCCAAGAGAGUUGGAUUUCCUCACAUUCUCAUCUAGCAAGAAGUACGUUCUGUUUUUGUAUUCUUCAGAUCUAGAUUUGGUGCUGCAAUUGCUUCACGUUUACGACAAUCUGAGAAACAUACAGAAUUGGUUAAGGAGCAAGCUCCUGAGCCAGAUGAUGUGUACCGGCCAUUUUCCAAGAAACGUUCUUGUAAAGAUGGAUGUCUAGAGUGGUAAUAAUAGUCGCAAGCACACAUUUCUGACUGUUCUAUUUCUUAUACCAGUUGUGCUUGUGCAAGUCUUGCCAAUCUGUCCCAACUGGAGGUCUGGUUCCCCUUCUUGGCAAGCAUUUUAACCGCAUAAGUGAUUAUUCCAUCUCCCGAGUUUCUGUGAAAAUUGCUAGUUCAAUCUGCCUGUCAUAGAAAAAUUUUAGAAUCGUAAUUUUUUUCUUCUUUUAAUCAUCAUUUUAAUUGGGCCUUAAACUUAUGUUAGAUUUUAAGAUUUGGAGAGAAGAAAUCAAGGAGGAAGAAGGUUUAUUGAAGUCUGCAUGGAAGGCUACCCUGAAGAGCUCUCAAGCUUUUGUCGGACUACAUUUUUGCAUAUAGUUGUGUGUUGAUCAACUAGUUAGAUUUUUAUUUUUUUCUUUUCGAUUGAACAAGAAUUAUUUAUCUUUAGCUUUUUAAGAAUUUUUUUAUUUAAAGAUGUGAUUUUUGAUUUACCAUAACUUGAAAUUCUAUUGUCAAAAAUAUUUUGAGUAAUGAAAUUUUAAUUUGUUUAA